UCCUACGGGGCGCAGCAGUAGGGAAUCUUCGGCAAUGGGCGAAAGCCUGACCGAGCAACGCCGCGUGAAUGAAGAAGGCCUUCGGGUUGUAAAAUUCUGUUAUAAGGGAAGAAAGGUGAUAGGGGGAAGUGACUAUCAAUUGACGGUACCUUAUGAGAAAGCCACGGCUAACUACGUGCCAGCAGCCGCGGUAAUACGUAGGUGGCAAGCGUUGUCCGGAUUUACUGGGUGUAAAGGGCGUGCAGCCGGAGAGACAAGUCAGAUGUGAAAUCCGCAGGCUCAACCUGCGAACUGCAUUUGAAACU
This 305-nucleotide ribosomal RNA is filed under the name uncultured bacterium. RNAcentral describes it as "bacterial SSU rRNA". It matches the Rfam family "Bacterial small subunit ribosomal RNA", at positions 337 to 634 of the family's 1533-position model. The record is from RNAcentral.